GGGAAUCUACCUUUUGCUACGGAAUAACGCAGGGAAACUUGUGCUAAUACCGUAUGUGCCCUUCGGGGGAAAGAUUUAUCGGCAAAGGAUGAGCCCGCGUUGGAUUAGCUAGUUGGUGGGGUAAAGGCCUACCAAGGCGGCGAUCCAUAGCUGGUCUGAGAGGAUGAUCAGCCACAUUGGGACUGAGACACGGCCCAAACUCCUACGGGAGGCAGCAGUGGGGAAUAUUGGACAAUGGGCGCAAGCCUGAUCCAGCCAUGCCGCGUGAGUGAUGAAGGCCUUAGGGUUGUAAAGCUCUUUCACCGGUGAAGAUAAUGACGGUAACCGGAGAAGAAGCCCCGGCUAACUUCGUGCCAGCAGCCGCGGUAAUACGAAGGGGGCUAGCGUUGUUCGGAUUUACUGGGCGUAAAGCGCACGUAGGCGGAUCGAUCAGUCAGGGGUGAAAUCCCAGGGCUCAACCCUGGAACUGCCUUUGAUACUGUCGAUCUGGAGUAUGGAAGAGGUGAGUGGAAUUCCGAGU
This 520-nucleotide ribosomal RNA is filed under the name uncultured bacterium. RNAcentral describes it as "bacterial SSU rRNA". It matches the Rfam family "Bacterial small subunit ribosomal RNA", at positions 120 to 674 of the family's 1533-position model. The record is from RNAcentral.